ACCGAUAGUGAACCAGUACCGUGAGGGAAAGGCGAAAAGAACCCCGGCGAGGGGAGUGAAAAAGAACCUGAAACCGUGUACGUACAAGCAGUGGGAGCACGCUUAGGCGUGUGACUGCGUACCUUUUGUAUAAUGGGUCAGCGACUUAUAUUCUGUAGCAAGGUUAACCGAAUAGGGGAGCCGAAGGGAAACCGAGUCUUAACUGGGCGUUAAGUUGCAGGGUAUAGACCCGAAACCCGGUGAUCUAGCCAUGGGCAGGUUGAAGGUUGGGUAACACUAACUGGAGGACCGAACCGACUAAUGUUGAAAAAUUAGCGGAUGACUUGUGGCUGGGGGUGAAAGGCCAAUCAAACCGGGAGAUAGCUGGUUCUCCCCGAAAGCUAUUUAGGUAGCGCCUCGUGAAUUCAUCUCCGGGGGUAGAGCACUGUUUCGGCAAGGGGGUCAUCCCGACUUACCAACCCGAUGCAAACUGCGAAUACCGGAGAAUGUUAUCACGGGAGACACACGGCGGGUGCUAACGUCCGUCGUGAAGAGGGAAACAACCCAGACCGCCAGCUAAGGUCCCAAAGUCAUGGUUAAGUGGGAAACGAUGUGGGAAGGCCCAGACAGCCAGGAUGUUGGCUUAGAAGCAGCCAUCAUUUAAAGAAAGCGUAAUAGCUCACUGGUCGAGUCGGCCUGCG
Molecule: ribosomal RNA, 680 nt
Filed under: Escherichia coli
Lineage: Bacteria; Pseudomonadati; Pseudomonadota; Gammaproteobacteria; Enterobacterales; Enterobacteriaceae
Description: partial 23S ribosomal RNA
Rfam family: Bacterial large subunit ribosomal RNA
Source: RNAcentral